UGGGGAAUAUUGCACAAUGGGCGCAAGCCUGAUGCAGCCAUGCCGCGUGUAUGAAGAAGGCCUCGGGUUGUAAAGUACUUUCAGCGGGGAGGAAGGGAGUAAAGUUAAUACCUUUGCUCAUUGACGUUACCCGCAGAAGAAGCACCGCCUAACUCCGUGCCAGCAGCCGCGGUAAUACGGAGGGUGCAAGCGUUAAUCGGAAUUACUGGGCGUAAAGCGCACGCAGGCGGUUUGUUAAGUCAGAUGUGAAAUCCCCGGGCUCAACCUGGGAACUGCAUCUGAUACUGGCAAGCUUGAGUCUCGUAGAGGGGGGUAGAAUUCCAGGUGUAGCGGUGAAAUGCGUAGAGAUCUGGAGGAAUACCGGUGGCGAAGGCGGCCCCCUGGACGAAGACUGACGCUCAGGUGCGAAAGCGUGGGGAGCAAACAGG
This 428-nucleotide ribosomal RNA is filed under the name Chloroflexota bacterium. RNAcentral's name for it is "Chloroflexi bacterium partial 16S ribosomal RNA". It matches the Rfam family "Bacterial small subunit ribosomal RNA", at positions 355 to 776 of the family's 1533-position model. Lineage: Bacteria; Bacillati; Chloroflexota. The record is from RNAcentral.